Molecule: long non-coding RNA, 1784 nt
Filed under: Triticum aestivum (bread wheat)
Lineage: Eukaryota; Viridiplantae; Streptophyta; Magnoliopsida; Poales; Poaceae
Description: long non-coding RNA (TAES_LNC003141)
Rfam family: MIR1120/MIR1122 microRNA precursor family (bases 632-756)
Source: RNAcentral
UAGGAAACAUGAGAAGAAAGGAUAAAAAGAUAAUGCUGACUGAUGCACCAACGUGGUGUGAUCGAUUACGUAAGUUUUUUCUUCCUACAAAGUUCAUCGUAUGAUUUAUUUGCUUUAUGCUGCCAUUUGUUCAUUAUGUGCUAUGUUUGCUGGUGGGCCUUCAUGUAGUUGGUGGUUAGCGGCUCGGUGAAAGCUUUGCUUCAUUGAGUUGAUGCCAGUGACCGCAGUAUUCGCAAGCAUCGGUCUCCUCCUUGGAGGCAUCACCAAGGAUUGUGCCCUCACCUUUCGUUUUGGGUGAAAACCCUUGGCCCGACCUGUACCACUGUCGGGAAUGACAUUGACAAAUUUGUUUGUAGUAAUGCUCUAAUAGUCAUGUCUUCAUUAGUGUUCUCUCUUGAUAACGAGACUGAUUGCAACUAUGGUACUGCUAAUUAAUUUAAAUUUUUGUUAUCAUCUUCGAGAGUUUAUAUCUUCAUCAUUUAAUUCAGGUUCGACGAUCUUCCAUUUAGCCAAGUAACUAAAUUGUCAUUUAACUACUAGAAUUAUUCUCGCAUGUGAGUGCACUCUAAAUGUUAGAGGAUGGCAUGCUAUCUAGGCCUCCAGGGUCUGCAAUAAUAGUACGGUCCUAGGGUUUAUACUCCCUCCGUCCGGAAAUACUUGUCAUUGGAAUAGAUGUAUCUAGAUGUAUUUUAGUUCUAGAUACAUCCAUUUUCAUCCAUUUUGAUGACAAGUAUUUCCGGACGGAGGGAGUAUUACUCAAAAUCUGGAUGUAUUUUCAAGUUAAUUAUUUAGGAUUGAUCUAGGUUCUGUUGUUGGUCAUGACUCAGUUGUACACAAGGUGAUAGUUUAGAAUUCAUUGAUAAUGUAAUUUCAUAGAAUGAUUUGUGCCAGUAGUUGUUUUACUCAAAUAUGAACUUUUUGUUGUGUUGUUUGGUACGGACCUGGAGCAUCAUUCUCAUCCACCUAUAGAAGAUAGUAUAGCAUGGAUUAAGAACUACUCCCUCUAUCCCAAAAUAAGUGUAUCAACCAUACUACAACUUUGUACUAAAGUUAGUACAAAGUUGAGACACUUAUUUUGGGACGGAGGGACUAUAUGUAGUUGUGUAUAGUUUCAGUUAUAUAGCAAGCAUUCAUUACUUCCUUCUUUUUAAGCACUUCAUAUAGAUCAGUAAUGAUCCUUCAAAUUUUCUUUUGGUGAACCAUAUGAUAAUGGCCAAUCCACUCUUACGAAGUAGACAAUGGAAAUGUAUUUCACAUGAUGAAAUUUUGGUUUCAGGGGUAAAGAUAUUGAAUGUAUGGCACUUAACUUUUUUAUGGUGGGUGUGUGCCACUUGAUGUGAUGGAGUGACUCCUGGGCGGUGGUGUACAUGUUCCUCCAUGGCAAGGGCCCCCGCAUCAUGGGCAUUCUGACCAAGGUCGUGUAUUUUUGUGUCACCAGGGCGAUCCCCAUGUAACUGAUCCUAUUCCCUUCUAUAUGUAGCAUGGUCAACUUGCGUUGAUUGAUUCAGUAAAAGGGGUGUUGGUUUGUGUUUGGUUUUGUGUAACCUUCUGAAUUCCAAAACUAGAACAUGUACAGUUUAGGUGUGAAGAUGUACUUCAGCAUGUGAUUUGUUCUUUGAAAUUGAAUUCAGACCUUGAGUACUACUUUUGUUUGGAUGAAGGUACGUGCAUGAUUCCACAACUUGAAAAUGGCAAUGUAUAUAAAAGAAUUGUGAUCCCUCUUUCAGUCCAGCCAAAAUGCAUAACACCACUUUGUAUACAUGAGUUGCAAUCUGAAAUCUAUG